CCGGAUUUAUUGGGUUUAAAGGGUGCGUAGGCGGCUUUAUAAGUCAGCGGUGAAAUAUUGCAGCUUAACUGUAUCACUGCCGUUGAUACUGUAGAGCUAGGAUUAGGUUGCUGUGGGCGGAAUGUGGGGUGUAGCGGUGAAGUGCUUAUAGAUCACACAAAAUAUCGAUUGCAAGCGCAGCUCACAAAGCCUAAAUUGACGCUGACGCACGAAAGUGUGGGGAUCGAACAGGAUUAUAUACCCUGGUACUCCACACUGUAAAAGAUGAUAACUCUCUGUCCGCGAUAUACAGUCGGUGGCCAAGCGAAAGCUAUAACUUAUCCACCUGGGGAGUACGACCGCGAGGUUGAAACUCAUUGGAAUUGACGGGGGCCCGCACAAGCGGAGGAACAUGUGGUUUAAUUCGAUGAUACGCGAGGAACCUUACCCGGGCUCGAACGGUGCAUGAAUGUCAUAGAGAUUUGACAGUCCUUCGGGACAUGUAUCGAGGUGCUGCAUGGUUGUCGUCAGCUCGUGCCGUGAUGUGUCCGCUUAACUGCCAUAACGAGCGCAACCCUUGUUGGCAGUUACCAUCAGGUCAAGCUGGGAGACUCUGUCUAGACUGCCACACGUAAGUGUGAUGACGGCGGGUAUGACUCCCAAUCAGCACGGCGCUUAUGUCCGUGGCGACACGCGUGUUACAAUGGGAGGUACAGACGGCAGCUAUCCAGUGAUCGAGUGCAAAUCUCACAAUCUUUCUCAAAUUCGGAUUGGUAGUCUGCAACUCGACUCCAUGAAGUUGGAUUCGCUAGUAAUCGCGCAUCAGC
This 806-nucleotide ribosomal RNA is filed under the name uncultured bacterium. RNAcentral's name for it is "bacterial SSU rRNA". It matches the Rfam family "Bacterial small subunit ribosomal RNA", at positions 545 to 1353 of the family's 1533-position model. The record is from RNAcentral.